UAUUUCUGCAUUUUACUACGUUGUUGGGUUGUACAUUGAUUUUAUUAGAGUUACAAGAUAAAUGUACUUAUAGAGACCGACAAUCGGAUAUGAUAAAAUUAGAUUUAGAUAUCCAUCAAGAUAUUAUAAAUAUAAUUUAAAAUGAAUAAAGUACAACAAUACAAAGAAUUAAAACAAAUUAUCUCUGAAAAACGUAAAGAAUUAAAAAUAAGAAUAAAAAGACUACAUUAUAAUAUAUUUGUCGGAGUUAGUAAAAAUUCAAUAGAUACACAAAAAGAUGAAAUAUCAAAAUUGGAAUCACAAAUAGAUAGUUUAGAAUAUAUAUAUCAACAUGACCUAUUCACAAUAAAAUGAAUAAAGAAGAAUUUAUAAUAGAUGAAAAAAUAUAUGAAAACUACGAAGGAUCAAAAAUAAAAAUAGUAUUUUCUAAUCUAGGACGAAGAUAUAAGAAAAUAGGUGAACAUUUAUAUCUAAUGUUAGAAAAAGAAGAAUUAAAAUUAGAAGAUAAAUUAACAGCAAUGGUAAGAAUAGAAAAAGAAAAUGAAGAGAUAGAUAGGAAAAAAGAAAUAGAAAAAAUAAAACAACAAACUACGGAAGAAAUACGAAAAAUAGAAGAAACCAAAAAUAGUAGAAUUGCUGAAUUAGAAAAAGAAUUACAAAUGUUAAAAGAACUGUAUGAACAAAGACAAAAAGAAAAAGAAGAAAAAGAUAGAGAACAGAAAUUACUAAAUGAGAUAAAUCAAUUUAAGGAAAAAUUAGAAAUAAAAAAUGAAGAAUUAGAAAUAAAUAAUAUAGAUAUUGAAGAGACAGAUAAUUAUGAGUCCGAAGAUAGUGAAACAUACACAGAAAUAUUAACAAAUACAAAAAAUUUAGAAAUCAAUGAAGAACAAAAAAUUAAUGAGGAAAACUUAGAAAAUACCCACACAGAAAUAAAUACUCUUGAUAAAAAAGAAAAUGAAAAUAUAAUACCUAAAACAACAGAAAUAAGAAAACCUAUAUAUUAUAAGAAUAAGUUUAAAAAAUAUAAUGAAUAUGAUAAAUGGAUACCAAAACAAAUAGUGAAUAAAAAUUAUAACUUUUUAGAUCUAGACUGUGUAAUAGAUACAGAAAAGACAAUACAAUUAUGGAUAGGAUAUAUGACAAAACAAUUAUUAGAUAAUAAUAUAAAUAUAACAGAUGCACCGGAAUAUAUAGAAAAAACACUAAUAGGAUCAGUAAAACUAUGGUUUGCAAAUCUAACCGAAAAUAGCAAAAAAGUAUUAAGAACUAAUAAACCUAUAGAAGGAACAUCAUCGACAACAACUAAACUAACACCUAUAGAAUUAUUAAAAAAAUAUGAAACAGCUAUAAAAGAUGAAUUUGGUAGUACGACAACAAUCGAAGAAGAAAUUUGUAGGGGGGUGCGCGGAUUUAAUAGAUCUAAAUAGAUUUAUUAGGUUUCUAGUGGAUACCUAGAGGUUGAUAGAAAUCAAAGUAUCAGAAAGAUUUUAUCAUCUUUACAACUUAUGACUUGCUGUCAUAAAGUCGUUCAAUUUCUAUGCAUACCUUUAGUGGCAUUGUAGUUAUAUAUAUAUUCUACUAUAUAGUAGAAAUAGAAAAAAAGACAGAAAAGAGAGUUGAUAACGAUCAAGGGUAGAUUUGGAAUUUUACAUCUAUCUUAAUAAUUAAGGGUAUUUUUGAUAUUUUAUAAAGAAAAAUAUCUAUUCAUUCACUACCACGAGAAUAUCUUGUGGCUAUGGUUGAACAACAUGCACAUUACAAUAUAUUUUUAUAUCUAUUUUAUUGUAUUGUAGGUAAUAAAUGUCAUAAAAAAAGGGCCAACAUUUAUAUUUGGGAUCAUUUCCAUCAAUUGAUCCAAUCAAACGAGAUAAUCCCUUACUGUUACAUCUUCAUUUUAUUUUACUAUACGCGUUGGGCCAGUGCAACGCACGGACAUACUCAUCUAGUUAUAUAGAAGAGCCAUAACUAGGACGACCAAGGGCAAAUUUGUCAAUUAACAAAAAGUUCAACUUAAACUUAUUGUACAUCAUGCAAAGAGUGGGAAUUUAAAAAAAAAAAAAAACAUGUUCUAAAAAAUCUAAUGACUAUGCUUUGAAAAAAACAAAAAAUCUAGUGACAUCUUAAAGAAGUGGGGCCCAUUGUUUUUCUUCAAAAGGUUGUGAAAAAGUUUUUUCUUAAAAUUUUCUUUAUGUAAUAGCUUCAGAAUUUAUGAUCAUACACGUUUUUUUCUUAUUUAUUUAAAUUAUAUACUUGAAUCAAAUGAAAAGAAUAAUUUUAAAUUAAAAGAAAAAUUAUAUUUGAAGUUUGUUUUAUUUAAAUAUUUUUUUAAUUUUGGUAUCCAGACGAACUUUCUCUUCUCUUAUCCAAAACCACGGAAUAACAAAUUGCUUUUGAGUGUAACAUUUAUUAUUAUUUUUUAUUAUUUUUCCCUAAAAUUUAUUGUGAUUAAUUUAUGUUUAUGUUAACACUCACAGUAUAAUCAAGGGUAUAACAUUUUUAAAUAAUCUUUUAAAUAUUUUCAUAUAAAUUUUUUGUACAUCCACUACAACUCUAUUUUAAAUGAAAAAAAUAGAUAUAACGGUCAUUUCAUUAGAAUCUUCUCAAUGCGCUAAUGAUGUAAUCUUUCAUACAGAUUCCACACACCUCAACUCUGAGUUUAUUUUAAUAUGUAGUAAAAUGAAAUUAGAUGCAUUAAUUAAAAUAUCUAUUUUAAUACAUUACAAGUCUCAAUUCAAAUAAUAUAAUUUUCUUUAUUUAAUCAGUUCUAAAUAAAUUGAUAUUUUUUAUUUGGUUAAUAUUAUAUAACAUCAUCAAUAUUUUAGUCAUGUCGAAUUUUAUUUAUUUGCCAAAAAGUCCACAAGGUUUACUCUUCUAUUUAUUUUAAAGAUAAUUUGAAAUAUUGUAAAAAAAUUUCAUGUAUCUUAAAUUCAGUGUUGAAUCAAAGUUAUUUAAAUUAAAAUAUUUGGAGACGUAAUUUAUCAAUGGAUAUGUAAAUACUCACAUAUGUUUCAUAAAUGAUAAAAAAGUAAAAUUAAUUUUGGCCACACAUUUAAUUGCAUAAAGUAGUUAUUAAUAUAUUAUAGUAAAAUAAUUAAAAAAAACUCAUAAUUAUUGAAUAGACGUGUAUCUAUCAUACACAAUAAGUGAAUUUCUCCAUAAUUACUAAACUUCACUUGAUACAUAUCAUUACAAAGAUUUACAAUACAUAUAAAUUAUGGAAACAUAAUUACUUAAAAAUCACCUGUUGAAAUUAUUUUAAACAACUUAUUUAAAAUGUAAUAUUAAUUACUUCAUGUUAAAUUACUACAAAAUAUAUCAUGCUAACUUUUGUUAAUUUUUUGGAUUCUCCUUAUUUGAGGUAGUAAAUUUCCUCAUCAGGUAGACAAAUCAUUUUACAAGAUUUUUUUUUUUUUGCUUACUAUAUUUAAUUAAUCUCCCUUUUUGACGUAUAUAAGAUAAGACAUAAAAUCAAUCUUUUAACAUUAUGAGUUAUUAAAACUUUCAUCCAUGUCCUUAUUUUCGUUUGUUAAACACACAUGAAAUAAAUUUAAUAUAUUUUAAAUUAAUUUAUGUAUGAAUUAGUAUUCUUUAUUGUGUCGUAUGAUUCUAUAAAAAAAUGUUAAUAAAUAGAUAUUUAUAAUUUUAAUUUGUUUUCUUGUAUAGCCUUUAAAUAAAGUAGGACAAUAUGCAAAAUAAAUUAUACUAUGUACUUUAUCUUAUCUUAUUUCAUCACCAAUUAUCUUGAACCACAUGUAAUACUAGGGCUCAUUCUCUUUAUUCCUACAUAAACUUAUUAAGAUCUAUUGUUUAUUGUAAGAAAACCAAAAUGCUCAACUAUCAUUAACUUUUUUUCAUGUUCUAUUUUUUUUUUCACGUUUUUAUUUCUUUAUUUUUUUGUGAAAGUUUUAUUUGUCAUUAUUUAGUACUUUCUUCGGUUCAAUUUGUUUGAUUUUUUUUAUUUCAUUUUUAAAAAUCUUUUUCAUUUUUUAGUAAUAUUUGUAAUUCUAACUUUCCACAUGUCACAUUCAAGAUUAUAAGAUUAAAGAAUAUUUUGAUAUACUUAACAUAUCUUUUAUUUAAUAUCACAAUAUUUUUUUAAAAGUUUCUUUUUAAAAUUUCAUACCAAAUUAAAAUAGACCAAACAAACUGAAACAAAUAAAAUAUUGACAUAAUGGUGCAUUUCUAUAAGAAAAAAAUACAAAAUCUGUAGAUGUUAAAUUGUGCUUCUGAAUAUGUACAUAUGUAUUUACAAAAUUCAAAGCUUCUAAAAUUAUGUUUUAGCCAAAGAUUAUUUUCAUAAACUUCUAAUAAUUAUAACAAACUUGUAAAAUUCAUUAAAAUUAAUUUAUAAAUCAUUUCGGAUAUUAUGUCAUACCAAAGUUGAAUUCUUUAUUUAAAAUUUAGUCCAUUAUAUAAUAUAAGAUUGUUAAUAAAAGUUUUAAGCUAUGACUUGAGAUUACUUUUAAUUAAGAUAUUGCACUGAACUAAUAAAUUACAAUAGGAUUGAAUUGAUAUGGAAACAAUUAACACGUUUAGUUCAUACUUAGAGAAAAGAGUUUAAUUAGUUAGAGUUAUUUAUUUGUUUGAUUUUGAUUUGAUAUUAAAUUUUAACAAAUUCAAAAAAUUCUUGAAUAUUAUAUUAAUAGGCUAAAGAUAUGUAUAAUGUAUCAAAAUACUCUUUAAUUUUGAAGAAUUGAUUAAAAAAUUAUCAAAAAAAAAAGAGAUAUUCUCCUUUUAAAUGGAUCAAAACAGAUGGAGUAUUGUAUUAAUAAUAAAAUGAUAAAAUAAUAUACUGAUAAAUGAUGAAAAAGAAUUCAUUUAAUUUUAAAACUAUAUAUACUAAAGAUAAUUUUAAAACUAUAAUUUAUUUAAUUUAAUUGGUACUUUUUGCAUCUUAUAUCAAGGCAUUAUAAUUUAUACACUUAACUAUAUAUAUCGUUUUACAACACAUUUACAAUCUUUAAAAUAAAAUAUAUUAUUUUGAGAUAGUAUAUUCUCUCAUCAGGUAUAUAAAUCACUUUUUUUUAAAAAAAUAAACUAAAUUAUUCUCUUGAUUUUAUGGUAUAUAAAACAAGAUGUGAAACCACAAUUUUUUAAUUUUUAUCACUUUGUAAAGAAUGAUAUGAUUGGUUUUAACUUUCAUCAAAUAGGUUGAAUUCCAUUCGCUAAAUCCAUGCAAAAUGAAUUUAAAUGCAUUCAAAAUAAAUUUAUAGAUGAAUCAUUUUUUAUUUUUUGAUUGUUUUGUAUCUAUAAAAAAAAUAUUACCGACGCUUUAUUAUAACAUGUAUCUUUAUUAUCAUUUUUGAUAGUGCUAAUUUAAAAAUAUUGAUGAUCAUUUAAAAAAUUAAUUAAAUACCUAUAAAUAUAUUUAAAAUAUUAAUAUUAAGCUCGUAAAACAGACCCCUCAAUAUUGACUUAUAUAACGUCGAUUCACGAUGAGGUAGUAUGUCACUACGAGCCAAUUUUGCCUUGUUUGAAGCCAAUGUACUAGUAGAUAUAGAUAUGCACUUCUUCUUUUGUGUACUGUGCAAUUAAUUUCACUCUUAUCACGCUUUCCAUUCAUUAACAAAGUUAUCUUUUAUCAUAUACUCAUUUUUGCUUGUUUUUUUUUUUUUUUAACUUUAGGUUAAUACAAUUUUAAGUUAAUGUUUGAUCAUUAAAAUUUUAAAUAUAAUUUAAAAAAACAACUUUAUUAUAUUUUAAAAAACAACUUUAUUAUGUCCAUAAAAAACACAACCUCUAACUCUUAAACUCCAAAAAUUUAUGUUUUUCAUACGCCCACUAAUUACUGACUUCAAAAUAUUGUACGCAUUACUUUCCGUGUGUGCAUUUUGCGAUUUCCCUCCGAUAUCCACGCCCACAUAUGUUUUAUCUUUUCAUCAGCUGGAUUCUCUCUUCAACGCUCCCUCUUCCUUCACUUCUUACUUGUUUUCUUUUUCUGUCAACUCAAUUCCAAUUCCACUCCAAAUACCCAAGUCAACCUCUGGUCAAUCCAUAUUCACUCUUCCCUUAAUUCCAAUUGCCUUCGAUUCUUCUUCUUUCCUCUAAAUAGCUAAAUCUCAUUCUUAGAUCAAAUUGGGUGAUUCAAAUGGUUGAUUGCCGAAGUUUGAUCGAGUUUUGCAGGGCACACGAGCAGCACAAACACAUGAAUAAAUUCAAUUCACAUAUCAAAAAAUAGGAUAAUAAUCAGAAAAAUUCUUUUUGCUGUGAUCGUUCCCCUUUUGCUGCACUAGAUGCACUUAUACUACUCGUAGUACUCGGAUCACUAGGGUUUCUCAUAAUCCCUUAUUUCAAAUUACUUUUCGCCCAAAUUUCCCCAAUUAUAUGUGAAUUUCUAAUCGAGGUGAUCAACACUUCCCCUGUAGCAUAUUUCUUUGGAUUGAUGGUGGCGUUAAUCGGAAUAAUUAUUCUAAUGGAGUGUAUAAAGUGUUUGCCAUUGGAUUCCGAUUCGAAUUCAAAUGGAUGUAAUAAUUAUGGAGUGAAGCCGCUGGAGUUGGGACUUGGGAGAAGAACGUGAAGAGUUGGAGGCAGAGUUGAUGAGGAUGGCACCGCAUAAUGGGCGGACUGUGCUUAUUUUCAGAGCUCCAUGUGGAUGUCCUGCAGGUAGAUUGGAGGUUUGGGGUCAUAGGAAAAUUCGUAGAAUUAAGAAAUGACUGUAGUUCCUGUAGUUUGUUCAGUUAUAUAAAAAUAUAUGAAUAAAGUAGGAGAUGCUGAGUAGUUUGGACAUUUUCUAUUGGCUGUUAUGGAAUAAUUAUAAUCACUGGUGAUUAUACUCUAGCAAUAAUAUCUCUGAGUAUUGAUUUGAGUUUCUUCCUGCUUUCCGUGUAAAGUUUUAUCAUGUUAUUUAAUUAUUACCUACACUAUAAAUAGUGAAGUUGGCUAGCUUUUGUUAUGCAUUCCCAAUAAUCUUUCUUCUGUGUAAACAUCAAGUUCUCUACAGCAUCAAAGCAUUUGGUAGAACGAGGAGGAAAUUUGAUAAUUUAAUAUCUGAAUAUAAGAAGUCGAACUCAAUGCUUGUCACUUUCUCAACCUUUUUGCAGCCUAUACUCCAUAUAGAGUGACUCGGUGUUCCCAUCACAUGGUUUUCAUUUGAAUCUUGUUUGCCCUGUUUUCAGUUUGAUCAUUGUGGAAGUAGUAUAUAUAUGAGGAAUUUAUUUGAUUAAUUUAUUAAUUAUGACUGACUUAUUUGAUAAAACUAAAUUUAUAUUUUCCCCAAAAUAUUAUUUAGAUGAACAAAGUACAAAAAUUAUCAAAAUAUAAAGAAUUAAAGCAAAAAAUAUCUAAAAAAACAUAAAGAAUUAAAAAUAAGGAUAGAAGGACUGCAAUAUAACAUAAUUAUUGGAGUUAGUAAAACCUCAAUAAAUGCACAAAAAGAAGAGAUAUUAAAUUUAGAAUCGACACUAGAUAGUCUAGAAUAUACAUACCAACAUGAUCUAUUAACAAUUAAAUAAAAAAUGAACAAAAAAGAAUUUAUAAUAGAUGAAAAAAUAUAUGAAAACUACGAAGGAUCAAAAAUAAAAAUAGUAUUUUCUAAUCUAGGACGAAGAUAUAAGAAAAUAGGUGAACAUUUAUAUCUAAUGUUAGAAAAAGAAGAAUUAAAAUUAGAAGAUAAAUUAACAGCAAUGGUAAGAAUAGAAAAAGAAAAUGAAGAGAUAGAUAGGAAAAAGGAAAUAGAAAAAAUAAAACAACAAACUACAGAAGAAAUAUGAAAAAUAGAAAAAACUAAAAAUAGUAGGAUUGCUGAAUUAGAAAAAAGAACUACAAAUGCUAAAAGGUUUGUAUGAAAAAAGACAGAAAGAAAAAGAAGAAAAAGAUAAAGAACAAAAAUUAUUAAAUGAGAUAAAUCAAUUUAAAGAAAAAUUAGAAAUAAGUAAUAAAGAAAUAGAAAUCAGGGAAUUAGAAAUAAAUACAAUAGAUGUUGAAGAAACAGAUAAUUAUGAGUCCGAAGAUAGUGAAACAUACACAGAAAUAUUAACAAAUACAAAAAAUUUAGAAAUCAAUGAAGAACAAAAAAUUUAUGAGGAAAACUUAGAAAAUACCCACACAGAAAUAAAUACUCUUGAUAAAAAAGAAAAUGAAAAUAUAAUACCUAAAACAACAGAAAUAAGAAAACCUAUAUAUUAUAAGAAUAAGUUUAAAAAAUAUAAUGAAUAUGAUAAAUGGAUACCAAAACAAAUAGUGAAUAAAAAUUAUAACUUUUUAGAUCUAGACUGUGUAAUAGAUACAGAAAAAACAAUACAAUUAUGGAUAGGAUAUAUGACAAAACAAUUAUUAGAUAAUAAUAUAAAUAUAACAGAUGCACCGGAAUAUAUAGAAAAAACACUAAUAGGAUCAGUAAAACUAUGGUUUGCAAAUCUAACCGAAAAUAGCAAAAAAGUAUUAAGAACUAAUAAACCUAUAGAAGGAACAUCAUCGAC
This 8417-nucleotide long non-coding RNA is filed under the name Capsicum annuum. Its description in RNAcentral is "long non-coding RNA (CANN_LNC001009)". Lineage: Eukaryota; Viridiplantae; Streptophyta; Magnoliopsida; Solanales; Solanaceae. The record is from RNAcentral.